AGAGUUUGAUCCUGGCUCAGAUUGAACGCUGGCGGCAUGCCUAACACAUGCAAGUCGAACGGCAGCACAGCAGAGCUUGCUCUGUGGGUGGCGAGUGGCGGACGGGUGAGUAAUGCAUCGGGACCUACCCAGACGUGGGGGAUAACCUCGGGAAACCGGGACUAAUACCGCAUACGUCCUACGGGAGAAAGCGGGGGAUCUUCGGACCUCGCGCGGUUGGACGGACCGAUGUGCGAUUAGCUAGUUGGUAGGGUAAAGGCCUACCAAGGCGACGAUCGCUAGCUGGUCUGAGAGGAUGAUCAGCCACACUGGAACUGAGACACGGUCCAGACUCCUACGGGAGGCAGCAGUGGGGAAUAUUGGACAAUGGGCGCAAGCCUGAUCCAGCAAUGCCGCGUGUGUGAAGAAGGCCUUC
Molecule: ribosomal RNA, 415 nt
Filed under: uncultured bacterium
Lineage: Bacteria
Description: bacterial SSU rRNA
Rfam family: Bacterial small subunit ribosomal RNA
Source: RNAcentral